Molecule: ribosomal RNA, 468 nt
Filed under: uncultured bacterium
Lineage: Bacteria
Description: partial 16S ribosomal RNA
Rfam family: Bacterial small subunit ribosomal RNA
Source: RNAcentral
GACGAACGCUGGCGGCGUGCUUAACACAUGCAAGUCGAACGGAAAGGCCCUGAUUUUGUGGGGUGCUCGAGUGUCGAAAGGGUGAGUAACACGUGAGUAUCCUGCCCUUGACUUUGGGAUAACUUCAGGAAACUGGGGCUAAUACCGGAUAGGAGCUCCUGCUGCAGGGUGGGGGUUGGAAAGUUGCGGCGGUUGGGGAUGGACUCGCGGCUUAUGAGCUUGUUGGUGGGGUCGUGGCUUACCAAGACUUUGACGGGUAGCCGGGCUGAGAGGGUGACCGGGCAGAUGGGGACGGGCAUACGGCCCGGACCCCUACGGGAGGCAGCAGUGGGGAAUAUUGCACGAUGGACGGAAGCCUGAUGCAGCAACGCCGCGUGCGGGAUGACGGCCUUCGGGUUGUAAACCGCUUUCGCCUGUGACGAAGCGUGAGUGACGGUAAUGGGUAAAGAAGCACCGGCUAACUACGUG